CCAAUAGCGUAUAUUAAAGUUGUUGCAGUUAAAAAGCUCGUAGUUGAAUUUCGGGAUUAGCAGGUCGGUCGUGCCACUGGUACGUACUGGUCUUGCUGAUUCCUCCCUCUUGACGAGCCGUAAUGCCAUUAAUUUGGUGUUGCGGGGAAUCAGGACUGUUACUUUGAAAAAAUUAGAGUGUUUAAAGCAAGCAUGCGCUUGAAUACAUUAGCAUGGAAUAAUGAAAUAGGACGUUCGAUCUUAUUUUGUUGGUUUCUAGGAUUGACGUAAUGAUUAAUAGGGAUAGUUGGGGGCAUUAGUAUUCAAUUGUCAGAGGUGAAAUUCUUGGAUUUAUUGAAGACUAACUACUGCGAAAGCAUUUGCCAAGGAUGUUUUCAUUAAUCAAGAACGAAAGUUAGGGGAUCGAAGACGAUCAGAUACCGUCGUAGUCUUAACCAUAAACUAUGCCGACUAGGGAUCGGAUGAUGUUAAUUUUUUAAUGACUCAUUCGGCGCCUUACG
Molecule: ribosomal RNA, 500 nt
Filed under: uncultured Glomeromycotina
Lineage: Eukaryota; Fungi; Glomeromycota
Description: partial small subunit ribosomal RNA
Rfam family: Eukaryotic small subunit ribosomal RNA
Source: RNAcentral